Molecule: ribosomal RNA, 174 nt
Filed under: uncultured bacterium
Lineage: Bacteria
Description: partial 16S ribosomal RNA
Rfam family: Bacterial small subunit ribosomal RNA
Source: RNAcentral
UCGGAAUUGCUAGUAAUCGCGGAUCAGCAUGCCGCGGUGAAUACGUUCCCGGGCCUUGUACACACCGCCCGUCACACCAUGGGAGCCGGUAAUACCCGAAGUCAGUAGUCCAACCUCGUGAGGACGCUGCCGAAGGUAGGAUUGGCGACUGGGGUGAAGUCGUAACAAGGUAAC